This 253-nucleotide unclassified non-coding RNA is filed under the name uncultured Acidobacteriota bacterium. Its description in RNAcentral is "uncultured Acidobacteria bacterium contains 16S-23S intergenic spacer region". It matches the Rfam family "Bacterial small subunit ribosomal RNA", at positions 524 to 776 of the family's 1533-position model. Lineage: Bacteria; Pseudomonadati; Acidobacteriota. The record is from RNAcentral.
UACGUAGGUGGCAAGCGUUGUUCGGAAUUACUGGGCGUAAAGGGCUCGUAGGUGGCCAACUAAGUCAGACGUGAAAUCCCUCGGCUUAACCGGGGAACUGCGUCUGAUACUGGAUGGCUUGAGUUUGGGAGAGGGAUGCGGAAUUCCAGGUGUAGCGGUGAAAUGCGUAGAUAUCUGGAGGAACACCGGUGGCGAAGGCGGCAUCCUGGACCAAUACUGACACUGAGGAGCGAAAGCCAGGGGAGCAAACGGG